This is a non-coding RNA of Cinara cedri, 245 nucleotides long. The record is from the annotation of a GenBank genome assembly. Lineage: Eukaryota; Metazoa; Arthropoda; Insecta; Hemiptera; Aphididae.
AACAACUCCCAUUUAACCGAAUUUCGCUCAGAAUCGUUGGCCGUUUGCAACGAUUUAUUAUUGCGUGCCAAUUUAAAUUACAUCUUAUGUAUCCUAUCUUUCCAGCUUUACACCAACAUUAGUGACAUGUUUCCAGGGCGUGAAGCAUGUCGGUUUUUUUUUUAUUACCUUUUACUCUGCGUUUCUCUGUCUUUCAACCGUUAUUUUUACACCAACUUUUACGAUACUUUAAAUUUGCAAAACGC